Molecule: transfer RNA, 70 nt
Filed under: Dipodomys ordii (Ord's kangaroo rat)
Lineage: Eukaryota; Metazoa; Chordata; Mammalia; Rodentia; Heteromyidae
Rfam family: tRNA
About the family: Transfer RNA (tRNA) molecules are approximately 80 nucleotides in length.
Source: Rfam by way of RNAcentral
GGGAAUGUGGCUUAGUGGUACAGUGUUUGCCUAGCAAGCAUGAAGCCCUGGGUUCGAUUCCUCAGUACCA